GCGGGGAGAGCUCGGCGGUUUAGCAGCAGACUGUGAAUCUGAAGAUCGUGGGUUCGAAUCCCAUUCCCCGCC
This 72-nucleotide transfer RNA is filed under the name Gloiopeltis furcata. RNAcentral's name for it is "tRNA-His". It matches the Rfam family "tRNA". From Rfam's summary of the family: Transfer RNA (tRNA) molecules are approximately 80 nucleotides in length. Their secondary structure includes four short double-helical elements and three loops (D, anti-codon, and T loops). The record is from RNAcentral. Lineage: Eukaryota; Rhodophyta; Florideophyceae; Gigartinales; Endocladiaceae.